This 544-nucleotide long non-coding RNA is filed under the name Actinia tenebrosa (Australian red waratah sea anemone). Its description in RNAcentral is "uncharacterized LOC116291085, transcript variant X2". The record is from RNAcentral. Lineage: Eukaryota; Metazoa; Cnidaria; Anthozoa; Actiniaria; Actiniidae.
UCCAUUUCUAUUGUUCUCGAAAAGGCCUUCAGAACAUUCUUUACAACAAGCUGUCAACUUAGUGGCAAACAAUCCAUUACCUUCUAACGCGGGCGUGCUUAAAGUUUGAUCAAGAAAAAAUACUUUCAAAAAUUGGUACGAGAGUAGUACAGUUCGAGAGAAGAGCUGAUAGAGGUGUAUAGCACGAAGCUUGAAGAACAGCCUUGGAAAGAGAGUAAAGUGUCUUCCUUAACAGUGAGUAGGUUCAGAAAUGUUUUUUUCUUACAUCGGCACCGUGUUUGGGAUUACAGUCCUUCAACUGUUAUCACAAAGCUCCGUCCAUGGUAAGUAUAUUAUCCAAUAAUCGAUAAUAGUCUUAAACAGCGGCCGCCGAGGCAAGGCUGGCUUUAUUGGAUUCGAUUCCGGAAAGUGAAGCUUGCGACAUUAGCCACACAAAUAUAUUCUUCAAAAAUUUAAAAACAUAUAUUAUGAGAAAGGAGAAAUAUGACUGCGCAAAUGAAAAAGAAAGAACAACAAAAAAAGAAAAGAAAAAAAAAGGGGAAAA